RNAcentral lists this unclassified non-coding RNA (205 nucleotides) under Hevea brasiliensis (rubber tree). Lineage: Eukaryota; Viridiplantae; Streptophyta; Magnoliopsida; Malpighiales; Euphorbiaceae. The record is from RNAcentral.
GUCAGAAGGACCACCCUAAGUCCAGAAAUCAAAGCAUAUAUCAGAUUUUAGCUAAAUGGAGCUAAGGGUUGGAGCACCAAGCAUCUAAACCAGUAUGCAAACAAACAGAACAAAUGUAACACGAGAUCAAUUAAAAGAGCAGGAAAGCACCAAGUUCAAAUGUGAACUUGAUCAGAACAUCAAUGUACUAUCAAAUAGAUUUUUU